Molecule: ribosomal RNA, 891 nt
Filed under: uncultured bacterium
Lineage: Bacteria
Description: bacterial SSU rRNA
Rfam family: Bacterial small subunit ribosomal RNA
Source: RNAcentral
AGAGUUUGAUCAUGGCUCAGGACGAACGCUGGCGGCGUGCUUAACACAUGCAAGUCGAGCGGAAAGGCCCUUUCGGGGGUACUCGAGCGGCGAACGGGUGAGUAACACGUGAGUAAUCUGCCCUUCACUUGGGGAUAACCUCCGGAAACGGUGGCUAAUACCCGAUACGACCAUUCCUCGCAUGAGGUGGUGGUGGAAAGUUUUUUCGGUGGAGGAUGUGCUCGCGGCCUAUCAGCUUGUUGGUGGGGUAAUGGCCUACCAAGGCUUCGACGGGUAGCCGGCCUGAGAGGGUGACCGGCCACACUGGGACUGAGACACGGCCCAGACUCCUACGGGAGGCAGCAGUGGGGAAUAUUGGACAAUGGGCGGAAGCCUGAUCCAGCAACGCCGCGUGAGGGAUGACGGCCUUCGGGUUGUAAACCUCUUUCAGUACCGACGAAGCGCAAGUGACGGUAGGUACAGAAGAAGCACCGGCCAACUACGUGCCAGCAGCCGCGGUAAUACGUAGGGUGCGAGCGUUGUCCGGAAUUAUUGGGCGUAAAGGGCUCGUAGGCGGUUUGUCGCGUCGGGAGUGAAAACACCGGGCUUAACUCGGUGCUUGCUUUCGAUACGGGCAGACUAGAGGUAUGCAGGGGAGAACGGAAUUCCUGGUGUAGCGGUGAAAUGCGCAGAUAUCAGGAGGAACACCGGUGGCGAAGGCGGUUCUCUGGGCAUUACCUGACGCUGAGGAGCGAAAGUGUGGGGAGCGAACAGGAUUAGAUACCCUGGUAGUCCACACCGUAAACGUUGGGCGCUAGGUGUGGGGCCUAUUCCAUGGGUUCCGUGCCGCAGCUAACGCAUUAAGCGCCCGCUGGGGAGUACGGCGCAGGCUAAACUCAAAGGAAUUGACGG